UUUAAUAUUCUAGUUUAUUUUGUACUUUUAUUGAGAGAUAAUUUUACACUUGGAGCACCCUUUUGAAUAUGUAUUGAUAUUUUUUUGUAUGUCUCUAUAUGGGUUGUGCCAAGUGAAAAUUUUGUAAUGAAGAACUUACUAUAAAUGUAAGGCAUAGAGUGUGGUUUGGGAAGGUUGAGUGACUUUUUGUAAUGUGUACUCACAAGCAAUGUAAGCUGAAGACGAGGGUAAAAUAUGGGAGAUUCAGCUUCUUGAAAUUGGAUCAAUAUUGAUAUUUACAAGCAUGGAAAAGUUUCAGUAGCAAAGGUAUUAUUCAAAUUAGAAAUUGUUGUUUGAAUGAUAUUGUACUAAUGCGAUAUAAGUUUGAACAAAAUUUUAAUAAUAUUUUGCAGGUUGUAUUGAUUCUUAGCAAGCUUGCUAAAUUUAGAAGUUUUUACUUCUCUUGGAACAUGAAGUACUAUUUAUCGGUAUAUUUUCUUUUUUAUUUUUAUUUCUUUCUAACUUAAAUUUUUGUUUGAGAACACAGGUUUUAUAAAGUAGCAGCAGCUUUUCUUGAAGAGAAAAGGGAGGUAGUAAGUACCUAUAGGCGUAGAAGAUGGCUAGUUUUAUAGGUUCUAAAUAUUUAGGAAAGUGAUAUAAUUAUAUUAUAUUAUAUUAUUAAGUACUAUAUACGUAAUAUACAUGUGUAUGUAUACAUGUCUAUAUAAGUAUUAUAUUAUAUAUUAUAUUAUAUAUAUAAUAUACGUAUGUAUGUAUAGAUACACAUUAUAUUAUAUAUAUUAUAUAAAAUGUGUUAUAUAUGUUUACAGAUAGUUAUUAAACUUUAAUUGGAAUAUUGUAGUUUUUUGUAUUGGUUUUCCUUGAUGAAUGUGUUGUAUAUGUGUGUUAUUUUUUUGUUAUUUUGUGAUGUUUCUUCGGAAUGUUGUAAUAUUUGUUUUGAAUGUGAUGUUUCGUUGGAAUAUUGUAAUUUUUUUUAUGAAUGUUGAUUUUGUUUGAGAAUGUGAUGUUUUGUUGAUGAAUGUGAUUGUAAUUUUUUUGUGUUGUUUUUUUAUUUUGUUAUAUAUGUUUGGAUGUUUUGUUAUUAUGUUUCGUUGGUGGUUGAUGUCCUACUUAUUAUGAUAUGAAUUUUGAAUUAGUUUUUUCGUGUAUCUAUUUAGUGUAUUUGCUAUAUUGUAUUUAAUAUUCUAGUUUAUAUUGUACUUUUGUUGAGAGAUAAUUUUACACUUGGGGCACCCUUUUGAAUAUGUAUUGAUAUUUCUUUGUGUGCCAAAUGAAUUUUUUUACUAUAAAUGUAAGGCAUAGAGGGUGGUUUGGAAAGGUUGAGUGACUUUUUGUAAUGUACAACUCACAAGCAAUGUAAGCUGAAGACGAGGGUAAAAGAUGGGAGAUUCAGCUUCUUGAAAUUGGAUCAAUAUUAAUAUUAUUUACAAGCAUGAAAAUGUUUCAGUAGCAAAGGUAUUAUUUAAAUUAGAAAUUGUUGUUUGAAUGAUAUUGUACUAAUGCGAU
Molecule: long non-coding RNA, 1506 nt
Filed under: Panax ginseng (ginseng)
Lineage: Eukaryota; Viridiplantae; Streptophyta; Magnoliopsida; Apiales; Araliaceae
Description: long non-coding RNA (PGIN_LNC015368)
Source: RNAcentral